This 607-nucleotide ribosomal RNA is filed under the name uncultured bacterium. Its description in RNAcentral is "bacterial SSU rRNA". It matches the Rfam family "Bacterial small subunit ribosomal RNA", at positions 338 to 947 of the family's 1533-position model. The record is from RNAcentral.
CCUACGGGAGGCAGCAGUAAGGAAUAUUGGUCAAUGGACGAAAGUCUGAACCAGCCAUGCCGCGUGAAGGAUGAAGGUCCUCUGGAUUGUAAACUUCUUUUAUCUGGGACGAAAAAAGGGCUUUCUAGCUCACUUGACGGUACCAGAGGAAUAAGCACCGGCUAACUCCGUGCCAGCAGCCGCGGUAAUACGGAGGGUGCAAGCGUUAUCCGGAUUUACUGGGUUUAAAGGGAGCGUAGGUGGGCAGGUAAGUCAGUGGUGAAAUCUCUGGGCUUAACCCGGAAACUGCCAUUGAUACUAUCUGUCUUGAAUAUCCUGGAGGUAAGCGGAAUAUGUCAUGUAGCGGUGAAAUGCUUAGAUAUGACAUAGAACACCCAUUGCGAAGGCAGCUUACUACGGGAUUAUUGACACUGAGGCUCGAAAGCGUGGGGAUCAAACAGGAUUAGAUACCCUGGUAGUCCACGCCCUAAACGAUGGAUACUCGACAUCAGCGAUACACUGUUGGUGUCUGAGCGAAAGCAUUAAGUAUCCCACUGGGAAGUCGACCGCAAGGUUGAAACUCAAAGGAUUGACGGCUGAGAGNGACGAGACGACGACGAGGAGGAGG